UGAUUUUUAGCUCACCUGACCUGAAAGGUCAAGUGAGCUUUUCUCAUCACUUUGCGUCCGUCGUCCGUCGUCCGUCGUCCGUAAACUUUUACAAAAAUCUUCUCCUCUGAAACUACUGGGUCAAAUUUAACCAAACUUGGUCACAAUCAUCAUUGGGGUAUCUAGUUUUAAAAAUGUGUCCGGUGAUCCGGUCAACCAACCAAGAUGGCCGCCAUGGCUAAAAAUAGAACAUAGGGGUAAAAUGUAGAUUUUGGCUUAUAUCUCUGAAACCAAAGCAUUUAGAGCAAAUCUGACAUGGGGUAAAAUUGUUUAUCAGGUCAAGAUCUAUCUGCCCUGAAAUUUUCAGACCAAUCAGGCAAAUCGUUGUUUGGUUGCUGCCCCUGAAUUGGUAAUUUUAAUGAAAUUUGUCGUUUUUGGUUAUUAUCUUGAAUAUUAUUAUAUAUAGAGAUAAACUGUAAACAGCAAUAAUGUUCAGCAAAGUAAGAUCUACAAUUAAGUCAACUUGACCAAAAUGGUCAGUUGACCCCUUAAGGAGUUAUUGCCCUUUGUAGUCAAUUUUUAACCAUUUUUCGUAAAUUUUUGUAAUCUUUUACAAAAAUCUUCUCCUCUGAAACUACUAAGACAAAUUUAACCAAACUUUUACACAAUCAUCAUUAGGGUAUAAAGUUUAAAAAAUGUGUCCGAUGACCCCGCCCGCGAACCAAGAUGGCCGACAUGGCUAAAAAUAGAACAUAGGGGUAAAAUGUAGAUUUUGGCUUAUAUCUCUGAAACCAAAGCAUUUAGAGUAAAUCUGACAUUGGGUAAAACUGAUUAUCAGGUCAAGAUCUAUCUGCCCUGAAAUUUUCAGACCAAUCAGGCAACACGUUGUUGGGUUGCUGCCCCUGAAUUGGUAAUUUUAAGAAAAUUUUGCAGCUUUUGGUUAUUAUCUUGAAUAUUAUUAUAGAUAGAGAUAAACUGUAAACAGCAAUAAUGUACAGUAAAGUAAGAUCUACAAAUAAGUCAACAUGACCAAAAUUGUCAAUUGACCCCUUAAGGAGUUAUUGCCCUUUAUAGUCAAUUUUUUACAAUUUUUUCAUAAAUUUUGUAAAUUUUUGUAAAUUUUUACAAAAUAUUUUCCACUAUAACUACUGGGCCAAGUUCAUUAUAGAUAGAGAUAAUUGUAAGCAGCAAGAAUGUUCAGUAAAGUAAGAUCUACAAACACAUCACCAUCACCAAAACACAAUUUUGUCAUGAAUCCAUCUUUGUCCUUUGUUUAAUAUGCACAUAUACCAAGGUGAGCGACACAGGCUCUUUAGAGCCUCUAGUUAUUUUCUUUCCCAUCAUUGAUCUAUUUGCGAAGAAUGGAAAUUGAUAAAAAAAAAAGAAAA
Mytilus californianus (California mussel) is the source of this 1367-nucleotide long non-coding RNA. RefSeq lists it as uncharacterized. The record is from RefSeq and is a predicted model, not a curated record. Lineage: Eukaryota; Metazoa; Mollusca; Bivalvia; Mytilida; Mytilidae. The transcript is spliced from 2 exons.